CAGCAGCCGCGGUAAUACGAAGGGUGCAAGCGUUAAUCGGAAUUACUGGGCGUAAAGCGUGCGUAGGCGGUGAGUUAAGUCUGCUGUGAAAUCCCCGGGCUCAACCUGGGAAUGGCAGUGGAUACUGGCUCGCUAGAGUGUGUCAGAAGAUGGUGGAAUUCCCGGUGUAGCGGUGAAAUGCGUAGAGAUCGGAAGGAACAUCUGUGGCGAAGGCGACUAUCUGGGCCAACACUGACACUGAGACACGAAAGCGUGGGGAGCAAACAGGAUUAGAUACCCCUGUAGUCCCUGUCUCUUAUAC
This 301-nucleotide ribosomal RNA is filed under the name uncultured bacterium. Its description in RNAcentral is "partial 16S ribosomal RNA". It matches the Rfam family "Bacterial small subunit ribosomal RNA", at positions 509 to 807 of the family's 1533-position model. The record is from RNAcentral.